This 64-nucleotide transfer RNA is filed under the name Dorypteryx domestica. RNAcentral describes it as "tRNA-Phe". Lineage: Eukaryota; Metazoa; Arthropoda; Insecta; Psocodea; Psyllipsocidae. The record is from RNAcentral.
AUUUAAAUAGUUUAAAAAGAAUAUUACAUUGAAGAUGUAAGGGAGAAGUUAUUUUCUUUAAAUA